UGAAUUUUGCCUCUUUAAUAUUUUCCGAGUUUUGUGGGGAUAUGCCGUCGGCCGAUUGUCAGAAGUAUGAGGACUUCCUGCCGAUUAUUGGAGAGUUUGGACCAUUUCAGAGGAAACUACUCCUUGGCUUGCUUCUGGCCGCCUUUCUGUUUGCAUUCACCUACCUUGGCCAGAUAUUCAUGGUGCUAGUGCCCACUCACUGGUGCAGAAUUCGGGAACUGGAGGGGUUGCCCAAGGAAGAGCAAUUAAAGCGGGGAAUCCCCACAAAGCCAGAUGGAGAUUACGAGAAUUGUGUCAUGUACAAUGAGCCCUUAGAUUCGAAUAUGACUAACAUGAGCAAUCAGACGAGGAGAACGGUGUCCUGCAACGAUGGUUGGGUUUAUGACCGUAACGAGAUUCCCUACGAGUCCAUUGCCACCGAAUAUAAUUGGGUGUGCGAUAAACAGGAGCUCAGUACCUAUUCUGUUAUAGCCUAUUUUCUUGGCUCAGUUGUGGGUUGUCUUUGCUUUGGCUAUGUCGCCGAUCAUUACGGUCGUUUGGUGGCCUUGUUUCUGGCGAAUUCUUGCUCAAUGAUCGGCGGCUGCAUUAGUGCAGUGUGCAAGGACUUUUACUGCUUUGCUGCCAGCAGGUGUAUAGUUGGACUGGCCAUGAAUAACUGCUUUCUUCCCAUCUAUAUUCUAACCUUGGAAAACGUAGGCAUUAAAUAUCGUACCUUGGUAGGAAAUUUGGGUCUUGCUGUCUUCUUUACCUUGGGAACCGUCAUUCUGCCUUGGAUUGCCUAUGCCUUCGAAAAUUGGAGGCAUUACGCCCUGGUCAUCGCUCUACCAGUGGUACUACUGAUUUUGGUAAGCUUACUGCUUCCCGAAUCACCCAGUUGGCUCUUAUCGAUGGGAAAAUUUGAGAGAGGAAUGCUAGUCUUGAAGGAGGCAGCUGAAAGCAAUGGAAAAACUAUUUCCGAUAAGGAGUGGUCAAAAAUGGAGAAAUGUUUUGAACUCAAAUUGGAAAACGAACUCAAAUUGAAACACCACACCUGUCUGGAUCUUUUCAAAACUUGUCGCAGGUCUGUGGUUAUGAUCAUACUGAUCGUUUGUUGGAUGAUGGUGGCUCUGGUGUACGAUGCUCAUGUGCGGGUCGUCGAGUUCUUGAGCACCGAUAUCUUCCUCACAUUUUCCGUUUCCUCUCUCGUUGAACUGCCGGCUGGAAUUCUGCCUUUGUUGCUGCUAGAUCGUGUGGGUCGCAAACCUAUUAUGACGGUCGUGAUGUUCUGCUGUGCGGGCUUCAGUCUUGCGGCUGGCUUCCUAGAAAAAAAUCUGGAAGUAAUAAUAAUGGCGACUAUUGCCAGAUUUUUCGUUACAGUUGCCUACAAUGUGCACAUGCAAUGGAGCUCGGAAAUCUUGCCAACUGUGGUGCGCGGUCAGGGUAUGGCCACCAUCAAUGUUUUGGGACAAAUAUCUGUUCUGAUGUCACCGGUUAUUGUUUACACCCACCACAUUUACGAGCCCCUACCGAUGUUUAUAAUCGCUUUACUUUCGCUGAUCGCAGCUAUUAUAGUUGUGAUCUUGCCAGAGACCAAAAACACCGAUAUGCCUCAUUCUAUGGACGAAGCGGAAAAGCGAUGGACGCUAAGCUGCAGGAAUCAUUAGCCAAAUACAGAUUAAAUCGGAGACUCGAAUUAGAGGUUAUACAUGUACACAUUAUUUGGAAAUAAAAGUGUAACCUUUAAAUCGAGACUCCAAUGGUUUGAGUCCGCGAUGACUGUU
Drosophila ficusphila is the source of this 1760-nucleotide RNA transcript. It is a transcript of the gene named solute carrier family 22 member 3, with no coding region annotated. The record is from RefSeq and is a predicted model, not a curated record. Lineage: Eukaryota; Metazoa; Arthropoda; Insecta; Diptera; Drosophilidae. The transcript has 4 exons.